Long non-coding RNA from Monodelphis domestica (gray short-tailed opossum), 6989 nucleotides. RefSeq lists it as uncharacterized. The record is from RefSeq and is a predicted model, not a curated record. NCBI's taxonomy places the organism in Eukaryota, Metazoa, Chordata, Mammalia, Didelphimorphia, Didelphidae.
CUCACUGUUUGGUCUGGUGUGGAAGAGCACUGGGGAAGUACUCCUUUGGUGGUCUAUUCUAACCUUUGAUUCUGAGUCUGUAUUUGGUUUUAGAAACUGAAUUGGGGAGAGGAAAGAAUUGGAGAAAUAAAAAAAGGAACUGGGAUUUUUAAAAGUGUUGGCAAACUUCCUGCUUCUAUGUUAUCUAAAGCUAUUUUUUCAUCUUAGUUUUACUGAUCCAACUCUAAAAUUUUUUAUUGCUAUUUUUUAAACAUUGCUUUCAUUUCUAAAUCCAUCCCUCCCAUACUCAGUGAGCAAUCCCUUUAAAAUUUUUUCGAAAGAGAACAAAAAGCAGUUCAGUGAAAUUCAGCCAAAUCUGAAAGGAUGCACAAUAUUCUACCCCUAUAGUCUCUCACCUCUGCAAAGAAUCAAAGGACUUACGUUUUCUCAUCUCUUUUGGGUAGAUAAAUGGUCAUCAUUAAUACACAGCAUUCAGUUUCUUUUGUUUUUAGUUCUUGCCAUUUAUAUUGCUAUCUUCAUUGUUAUAUGUUUUCUUGGCUCUCCUUGUAUUCCUCUGCACCUAUAAAUCUUUACAUUCGUAUCCAGAUUUUUCUCAUUCAUCAUUUCUUCUAGCACCAUCAUAUUUCAUUACAUUCAUCUGCCACAAUUUGUUUAGCUAAUCCCUAAUGGACAGGGAAAUCUGCUUGGUUUCCAGUCAUUUACUACUAUAAAAAGCAUUGGUAUGGGUAUUUUGGUAUAUAUAGGACCUUUCUUUGACCUCCUUACAGGUAUAGCUAUUGAUCAGUAAUCUUUCCUAGAGUGUUUGUUUUGUUAAUAAGGCUCUGAAGAUCAGUUGUACUUUGGGAUGAUGGGCAUUAGUAGCUAAAGAUUUGAAAUUUUCUUUCAGUUAUGGAGACCAUGGCUCUUCUCAUGUUUCAGGGGUGUGUUGUUUGCCCUAGUUGUCAGGGAGUUGUGUUUUGACUGUUCAGUACAUGAGAGCUAAGUUUUCUUAAACUUUUUGAUUGGUGACCACUACCUUUUCUUCACAUUCAUGGACUCUUUGCAAAGAUUAACAGAAAUAACGUUUGGAAAUAGACCAGCUAGGAUGAUGACCAGGGCUACUGGUCUUCACUCUUGUUACUCCAGUAUUAGUAGUAGUGAGAUGACCCUAUAACAGGAAAUAUGGGAAUCUGCCUUCUCGCUUGACACCUUCCCUUUUGUUUGUUUUUCUAGAUUAAUGUCACUAUUGGAUGACCAUUAGAUGGUGAGCUCCUUGAGGGUAGGGAUACUCUUUUGUCUUUCCUGGCACAUAGUAGGCACUUAAUAAAGAUUUAUGACUGACUAUGCAUUGAGUAUUGAUAGUGAACUGUCAGAUCCAAGAUGAAUUUCCAGGGGUACUGCUAGCUAGUCCACUACAUUUCAAUACUUCAGUGUGUACUUUUCCUCUAGAAUCUUGAUGAAAUAAGUAUAGUAAAAUAAAUAUAAAAAAACUAUUUUAAAAUGUAAAACUCCUUUUUUAGCUUACAGGCCAUACAAAAAUAGACUGGCUUUGGUCCUUGGGCCAUUACCCCUAAUCUGGAUUAUUUAGUGCUUUCUCCUUCCUUCUGUAGCAGCUAUAGUGGCCUCAGGUCCCUAUAGCAUUUGACAUGUGUAGACAGUUUGACAGUGUAGACAUGAGCUGAAUUUAAUUAAUGUCAUAUGUGAAAAGCACCAGGCUGGGAGUCAGAAUAACCUGUGUCAUUCCAAACUAUACUCAUAACACUAAAUAAUAAUAAUAGCAUUUGUAUAGCAUUUUAAGGUUUGCAAAGCUCUUUACAAAUACAUCAUUUGAUCCUCACAGCAACCCUAGGAAUGAGUGCUAUCAUUCCUCCAUUUUAUAGUUGAGGAAACUGAAGCAAAGAGAGAUUAAGUGAGUUGCCCAGGCUUACACAGACUAAGUGUUUGAGGUUAGAUUUGGACUCAGGUCAUCUAGCUGCCUAAAUAAUCUUUUAGCAGCUACUAAUACCCUCUAUACCUCAUUUAUUAAAUGGUGACACAAUUUUCCCUUUGUCUUCCUCCAAGUAAUCAUUUUGUAGAUUCAUGUGAUGUUCAGUGUCUGAAAUGGCAGAGAUUGUUGAAGAAAGGUAGAUGGGGAGGUUUGGAUGGAGAGAGCAGAAGGAAGCCAAGGACAUAAAGGAGGGAACAUAGGUUAUUGGUAUGUGAGGUUAUUAAAAUCUAUUUAAAUUGCAUUAAGCUGUGGCCAUUUCCUGAGCCCUUAACAGAACAUAGAAUUACCCAGUUCCUGCUUUUAUAGAUCAGUAAAAUAAAUAAAAUUACAUCAGGACAUCAUGCAUCUAAUGUAUUUUUUUAACCCAAUUUUGAUCUCGUACUUUCUCCUGAAUCACUUUGGUGAUUAGCCAAAUGCUUGGCUGUCCUCUGAUGGCGCCGUGUUCUCAGCACAGUCUGAAAGGGUUAAAGGACUCUUGGGAAAGGCACUAGGCUACAGGCAUCAUCUUGUACAUUUUUUCCCUGCCUAGCCUUAAUGAUCCCCUGUAAAAGCAUACUCGAAUGGAACCAGCACAGAACAAUAUUUGCAUUUGAAACACACUUUUCUUUUUAAAAAGGCCCAAUGCAAAAGCAAAAACAUACUCUGCUUACUGCAAUUCAGUGUGGCCUUGGGGAAUUUUGUGUCUGUGUUGGAGUUGUUAAUACAUAAUUGCAGCUGCCUUUUCUAUACAGAAAGAUUCAGAUACAAAGUCACACGACUAAAUGUUUUCUGCUGUGCCCAGACCACAUUUUUUCCUUUUGAAACAACUUAGAAAAUUUGACAAGUGCUUUAAAUCUCCCUUAACUCUGAACUCUAGGAGAGUAACGACCUUUGGAAAAGUUAUAUUAAUUUGCUGUAUUUCAGUUUUCUCAGCUGAGAAUUAGAGUUGAGAAAUAAUUAAGCUCUUUAUCCUUCUGAAGACAUAAUUUUUUAGGUCAUAACUUUGAGGUCCUGGGAAAUGAAAAGAAUAUCCGUAAUUUAUUUCAUUAUCAUAUGAAAGUCAGUCAGUAAACACAUACUCAUGGCAUCUUGGACAUAAAACUGCUUGUUUGUGAUUACUUGGAAAGUUAGGUUAACUGCUGAACACUGAUGUAGUUAAUUUUCUGGUGAAGUAUUGUUAGAUUUUUGUCUGGCUUGUUUUGUAUCCUACAGUGAAAGCAAGCUUUAGAUUAGGGACUGUUUCAUUUUGGUUUGCCACCUAAUUGGCACUAAGUAGAUUCUUGUUGACUACUCAAUCAAUUGAAGAAGUCAGCUAAUUAAGGGCAAGGCUAGAAAAAACAACAAACCCAGCCCCUUUCUAUAAUUGAAGGAUACAAUAGGUAUUGAAUGAUUGUUACUACUCAGAAGUUACUUACCACAGAAGCUAUUAGUUACAUUUUCUGAGGUUAGGAAACCUUGAAGAAAUUAUUAACUACCAGAGAUUUAGUUAUUCAGUGAUAUCUGAAUUUCCAAAUCCUAUGGAUUAUUUGUGUGUGUGUGUGUGUGUGUGUGUGUGUGUGUGUGUGUGUGUGUGUGUGUGCAUACACGUGCACGAUUCUUAGUUUCUCUGAAAACAAUACUGUCACCUACUCUUCUCCUAGAUACUCUCUUCUUUCUGGGUUUUUGCAACACUGCUCUCUUGGAUCUCUUCCUCUCUGGCUGUUGUUUUUCAAUUUCUUUCACUGAUCAUUAGUCAAAUCAUACUUUUUAAAAAAAAAAUUAAACCCUUACCUUCUGUCUUGGAAUCAAUACUGUGUAUUGGCUCCAAGGCAGAAGAGUGGUAAGGGCUAGGCAAGGGGGGAUCAAGUGAUUUGCCCAGGGUCACACAACUGGGAAGUGUCUGAGGCCAGAUUUGAACCUAGGACUUCCCAUAUCUGGCCUGGCUCUCAAUCCACUUAUCUGCCCAGCUGCCCCCUGAAAUUGUACUCUUUAACUAUGGACUCUACUUCAGUUUCACUUAAUAGGUAUUGAUUAAGCAUAUACUAGGCACUAUAAGAAUAUAGUUAGGCAAUUAAGGAAAUUAAUUGCUAUUAAUUUAGAGAAAGAAUACUAAGAAGAUUUCAAAUUCUAUAUAGAAAAUGCUUUAUCUAAUGUUAUCUUCAGGGAGAGAUAAUAUAAGGCUAUAAUUCGGAAACUUUACAUAUCGCUUUUGAAGCGAAUGUGAAGAAAAAAAGAGACAAAUUCUACAGAUACUUAAUUAAAAAUACUACAAUGUUCAUUUAGAGUAGAGGUCCUUAACCUAUUUUGUAUCAGGUUCCCCUUGGGCAGUCUAGUGAAACCUAUGGACCUCUUUUCCAUUAAAAUGUUUUAAAUGCAAAAAAUAUAAAAUUACAGACAGUACCCAAAUUUAGUAAAAAUAAAAAAGGUAAGCUUUUCCUAUGCAUAUUCAUGACUUCCCUGAAAUAUAUCCAUGGACUCCUUGGGAUUUUGUUGACAAAAGGUUACGAAGUGUUGAUUUAAAGAAAUAAUAUGGGGUGGUUUGUUUUAUGCAGAAUAAAACUUAGUUAUACUUUAAAAUUAUAAUGACCAUUUUUAAUUUCACAAGUGAAUUUUAUCUCCUGUUUUUUCAAUCAUGUUGGCCACUUUUAUCCUUCUAUAUGUUAUUAGGAAAGCAGCACCAUCAUCAUCAUAGCUAUCAUUUUACUUAGUGCUUUAGGGUUUGCAAAACACUUUACAAAUAAUAUUUUAUACUCACAAUAACUCUGGAAGGAGAGGUAUUAUUAUUUCCUCCUUUUACAGUAUGGUCAUACAACUAGCAAGUGACUGAGGUAGAAUUUUAACUCAGAUUCCCCCUGACCCAACACUCUGUCUACUUGACCACCUAGCUAAGGACAUUUAGUUUUUCUUUUUUCUUUUUAAUAGAUAAAGAAAUGGAUAAUAAAUUUAGUAAGCACCAGAGACAGAAUUUGAACCCAGGUCCUCUGACUCUAGGGGGCAGCUAAAUGGUGCUAAGAGGUAGAUGAUAUGGUUCCUGCCAUUACCAUUACCAAUACCACCAUCCCUACCAUCACUACUACUAUUACUAAGAUGAGGAUGACUAUUAGUACUGCUUACCACCACCACCACACUAUUCCUCCUACUAUUACUCCUACUCCUACUCCUAUUGCUACUGCUUUUGCUACUACCCCCACCCCUACCACUAGAAGUGGUACUACUGCUUCUAUAGCAUUCUCCCAAUGAUGCUUUAUGGUGGUGAACAGUGGAACAUUACUAUCUCAAAGGAGUCAAAGCUCCUUUUUAUCUAAAGGAUACCUGAAAAAAUGCCCAUGGUAGGUAUACAAAUAGACUACACUGUAUUGCAGUAGAGAAAGGUGCAUCUUAAGAGGUACCAAAGAUAGAAAGAACAAGUGUAACUGGAAAAUGAGAUUGUCUUGUCAUGCACUGAGAGCAGCAAAAUAGAUGGACAGCACAAUGCAGUACCGUUCCCUAAAAAUAUGAAGUAUCUAGUCACUGACAACAGAUACUUUCAACAACAUCUGGGAAGAGCUUAGGUUUAGGGUCAGAGGUGAUUGUUGUUUGGAUGUAUUCCAUUCUUUGUGACCCCAUUUGGGGUUUUCUUAGCAAAGGUACUAAAGUGGUUUGCUGUUUCUUUCUCCAGUUCAUUUUACAGAUGAAUAAACUGAAGCAAAUAGGGCUAAGUGACUUGCCCAGGGUCACAUAGCUAAUAAAUGCCUGAGGCUGGAUUUGAACUCAGAAAGAUGAAACCUCUUUACUCUAAUCCCAUUACUUUAUAUACUACAGCACCUACCUGCCCUGCACACAUAUACACAGGUUCUCUAUAGCAUUUUGAGGGCAACUUAAUGCUUAGUGAUAUAAUUUCCCUCUAAACGAUUUUUACUCUAAUUGUUGCCUUUUUACUUCCUAAUCUCAAAUUAGUCUUUAAAAAUAUUUUAGAAUUACUCUAAAAAGAUAUUCAUGAGUCAAAACAUCCACAACUAAGCCCAAGUUGACUGAUUGUAUUAGAAGCUUUUUAAAGGUUCUUUUUCCUUUAGGGGUAGUAAUUAAUGAAGGAAAAAAGAACCCUGGCUCUGCAGAUGAGUCAAUUUAGAAAAUGUCUGACUCAGCAAAUCUCUGGAAACAAAAGAGCUUGAUUGAUCUGGCAUGAAUGAGGUGCACACAUCAUUUGCAUUUUGGCUGUGAAAUGAGAAAUAGGAAGAGAUUCAUAGCUUAGCGAAAGUCAUUUCUUUUUUCCUCAUGCAUUUUUAAAAAGCUGUGUUGAAGAAAAUCAAGGCUAGUGACAGUUGGUCAAUAACUUCCAUCACAUCCCAAUGAAUAUGUGUGCAUAAUAAUUAUCAUUAAGGAAGAUGAAAUGUAACCUCAACACAUAAGUUAAGUAAAAACCUUUGGUACCGAUUUGACAUAAAGCAAGGGCGAGAGCUUGCAAAUGGAUCACAGGUUGUCCAACUUUCCUUUCGAGGCAUGGGUAACUACAGUGAUUGAAACCCAUAGGAGCUCUCCAGUUUUCAUUUGUAUGAGUUACUGAAAUAUCUUCUUCCAGUAUAUCAGAACUGAUUACAAUACUGCCAUGCAGUCUGUAUCUUUUGUGGGGGGUACUUAGUGUUCAUUAGUUUUGAGGGUUUGUUUAGCUUGAAAAUAGUUUGCUCCCAUUCGGUCAGGUAAGAGUUAUAGUUGGGGUAAGGCAACAUUUCCGAAUUUAAAUUUUCUUUUAUCUUCUUAUUUGACUUCCUUAGUUUAUUCCCUAGUGACAUGCUAAUGACCACAAAUAAGGGUGACUGUAACAAUGUAUGGAAUUAGAUACCUGCAGGAUGUCAUCCUUGGAAGGGACCUCAGUUGGUCAUCUUGUUCAAUACCUGAUGAGCAAGAAUCCUCUUCUAUUGCACCAAGCCUUUGUUUGAACACCUCCAAUGAGAUGAAAACUACUGCCUUUUAGGAACCUCACAGGAAGUGAUAAUACCAGUGCCAGGAAUCUGUCUUUCUAGCUAAUGUAAUUACCCUCUUGUCAGUUUGUCUGUUUGCAUCAUAAUAAACCUGUUUGGAAAAUGUA